Molecule: long non-coding RNA, 1925 nt
Organism: Talpa occidentalis (Iberian mole)
Lineage: Eukaryota; Metazoa; Chordata; Mammalia; Eulipotyphla; Talpidae
Exons: 5
Source: RefSeq, a predicted model, not a curated record
AGUCAAAGGAGGAAGGUGGCUAUUUGCAAUAAACCAUUCCCAGAACACAAAAGCCAUGAAGAUUUCUUUAACCGUCACUGUCUUCCAGGAUCACAGGGCUUAGGUGAAACAGCAUGGUGAGACCUAAGAGAUUGAUAAAAAUGAGAAAGAAUAAUAAUACACAGUACUGACAGGACCCAACCAGAGACCAUCAGAAGGUGAAAGAAGACAUUUUCUUCUCCUACAAAGUCAUUUCUGGUGCUUAAUUUUUUAUGAGCCACUGAAUUGAAGAGAAGAAACUAGUCCUUGUCAUCAAAUAGCUCACAGAAAAGAUACAGACAUGUUUAUUGGAAUCCUAGUUCUGCCAUGUAUUCACUGUGAAUAUGGUUCCUGCCCAAGUUGUCCCUCUGAAGUCAUGGAGACCAUAGUACAAAACUGAUUCCCCUCCCAGAGCCAAUUCUCAGGUGACUUGCUACAAUCUUUCACUGUAACAACACUGAAGGAUGUUGAAGGUCAUGCUCGUCAAAAGCAGGAUGCAGGGGAUAGAUUUAUUCUCGGUACGGCCCUGCUGUCUGUUACAUUCUGAUCCUUCUAGACCUUCCUGAACCCAGUCCUUCGAUGGCAUCCAACCUUUCCCUCACCCAUGCUUUCAGAUAUACCUUGGUGGAAUUUUGCUGGAAUUUCAAGAAUUAUGUUACGCAAAACUGUGCUUAAUUACAUGGAAAGAACUGAUCUUCAGAUAGCAUGUACCAAUUCAGCCUUACAAUUAUGAAAAUGUUGAAAUGCUUAAAUACUAUUUGCAAAGUUCCUAUUUCCUUUAGCCGCUUUUCCCCUACCUCCCAAUCACCUCAAAAUCCAACGACUAAAAACCAAUACAAGGCAAAGGAAGGCAUCUCCAGGGCUUGCUCUUCCUCUCAUAGUACCAUCCUUUCUGAUUGGUUAUGCUGACAUAUUGCUAUACUGGUUUUUUAGUGUUUUAAAAUAUCAACUUUGAAUAUUGACCCAGAAAUCAAAUGAUCACAAUUAGAAGAGCACUUCAUAUCUCGUACAUUUAAUUUUAAUCAUGAAAGCUUAAAUAAGGGAAUAUAAGAUGGAUUCAGAAUUGAUAGUGAUUGCUUAAUUACAAUAUAUUUUUUAAAAAGAAUGAUAUGUUUCAUAAUAUAUGAUAAGAUGGUGAAAGCAUUCUUCAAAAUAUUCAUGAAAAGCAUAAAGGAAUGGAGCUCCAGUCUUCAGAGUCCUCCUUCCCUCUAGUCUGAUUGGAAAGCUUUUCCCAUCAGAUAUAUCAGUAGGUCUGGGACAGUCCUCCCUUGGUGUAUUGCAAACACAAAACAACUUCACUAUUUUAUGUGCUAGUGGAUGCAAGCUGGCUUUAUUCACUCACCCUUCCCAAUCACAAAUAAUAUCCGAAGAUGGCAUAGACUUCUACCCAAUUUCCAAAACAAAAUCCCAAAUAAAAGCUGAUUUCAAUCCUGAUUAAAACUUUAGAAUCACAUCUAGUUUAGCACUUUUAUCCUUCCUGCCACAGGCAGUGGUAUCCAGACUUAGACCCUAGAUCCUUAAAGUGGGAAGGAUGUAAGUUUGACUUUACACUUUUCCUUUAACUCUCCUUUCUGCUUGAGACUUCUUUCACCUUCCAGGGUAUAAUAAAGUAAAUGAGAUUAUUGACAAUGAGUCAACAGUAUUGCUCAUGCCUGGCUGUAUCCUAAUCCUGGUAGACAGCAUUCCAAAUUCGGCAGGUGCCCACAUAUAGCUGCUUUGAUGAGGCACAUCUGUGACUCCUUCUGGGUGAACCCACUCAUCGUCCAAUUCUCUGGUGUGAGUGAAAUAUUCUAGCUGACCUCUCCAAUUCCAGAGCAGGGAUGCUGAAGACCCCCGAUAUGUAUUCAUCAGACAGCUAUGACUUAAAAGAAAGUUCACUACACAGAAGUCAUGACCACCAAGAGAAG